GAUGAACGCUGGCGGCGUGCUUAACACAUGCAAGUCGAACGGAAAGGCCCCAGCUUGCUGGGGUACCCGAGUGGCGAACGGGUGAGUAACACGUGGGUGAUCUGCCCUGCACUGUGGGAUAAGCUUGGGAAACUGGGUCUAAUACCGAAUAUGACCACUUCUUGGAUGUUGUGGUGGAAAGCUCUUGCGGUGUGGGAUGGGCCUGCGGCCUAUCAGCUUGUUGGUGGGGUAAUGGCCUACCAAGGCGGCGACGGGUAUCCGGCCUGAGAGGGUGUACGGACACAUUGGGACUGAGAUACGGCCCAGCCUCCUACGGGAGGCAGCAGUGGGGAAUAUUGCACAAUGGGCGCAAGCCUGAUGCAGCGACGCCGCGUGGGGGACGAAGGCCUUCGGGUUGUAAACUCCUUUCGCUAUCGACGAAGCCACUUGUGGUGACGGUAGGUAGAUAAGAAGCACCGGCUAACUACGUGCCAGCCGCCGCCGUAA
RNAcentral lists this ribosomal RNA (486 nucleotides) under uncultured bacterium. RNAcentral's name for it is "partial 16S ribosomal RNA". It matches the Rfam family "Bacterial small subunit ribosomal RNA", at positions 28 to 523 of the family's 1533-position model. The record is from RNAcentral.